This 67-nucleotide transfer RNA is filed under the name uncultured Stomatobaculum sp. It matches the Rfam family "tRNA", at positions 5 to 66 of the family's 71-position model. From Rfam's summary of the family: Transfer RNA (tRNA) molecules are approximately 80 nucleotides in length. Lineage: Bacteria; Bacillati; Bacillota; Clostridia; Lachnospirales; Lachnospiraceae. The record is from RNAcentral.
UCUGUAGCUCAGCUGGAUAGAGCAACGGCCUUCUAAGCCGUAGGUCGCGGGUUCGAAUCCCUCCAGG